AGGGAGAAUGCCAUAUCCAGAGAAUGGUUGUGAUUGAUGCUUUGGUCCUCACUUGCAUAAGGGACAGCACUUGCUGACCAGUCCUCCAGUCUGAACAGAAAAUGAACUUUCCAUUCAAAGAAUCCAGAAUUCACCCUGUGACAGCAAGGGCUCUUCCUCCCAUUGCCUCUCCCCGAUCCCCCUUAUGCAGCAAAACAAUAUGGAGAACAAGUCCGGCGUCUGCAGUCCAUUCGUGCAGGUCGUAUCUGACAGAAAGGAGAACUGUCCGCAAGCACAUUCCUCACCAAUAAUUAAUUCCUCUCCUGCCCACUGCCAUGUGCCUGAGAAGCCUGCAACUGCAUCAUGUCUGCAAAAUCCCAUGGACAAGAUUUCCAUGGUGACAGGGUCAUGUGCUAUGCAAAUAUCAGCUGGCUAGUCGAGGUUACUUUGGCAACCCAAGUGUCACAGGUAAUGAUGCAGAGCUCGUUCAGAUUUAUGAAGGAAUAAUCUGAAUAAAAACUUGCCCAUUUUUCAUUUUAA
Rhea pennata is the source of this 519-nucleotide long non-coding RNA. RefSeq lists it as uncharacterized. Lineage: Eukaryota; Metazoa; Chordata; Aves; Rheiformes; Rheidae. The transcript is spliced from 2 exons. The record is from RefSeq and is a predicted model, not a curated record.